UGCGUGAGUGGCGAAAUUGGUAGACGCACCAGGUUUAGGUCCUGACGCCCGCAAGGGCGUGCCGGUUCGAGUCCGGCCUCACGCACCAA
Molecule: transfer RNA, 89 nt
Filed under: Burkholderia pseudomallei 1710a
Lineage: Bacteria; Pseudomonadati; Pseudomonadota; Betaproteobacteria; Burkholderiales; Burkholderiaceae
Also listed under: 12 other names
Description: tRNA-Leu
Rfam family: tRNA
About the family: Transfer RNA (tRNA) molecules are approximately 80 nucleotides in length. Their secondary structure includes four short double-helical elements and three loops (D, anti-codon, and T loops).
Source: RNAcentral